GCAAUCGUCCGGGCGCUGCAGGCCCGGAAUCCCCCCCCGAGGUUAGUGUCCGUUGUCGACACCUCGUUCCUCAGACCAUUGUUUGUAAUUCGUCACAGUAUCUAGUAGUAUCUAUCUAUUUGAUUGGUAGCAGUGCACAGCGUUGUCAAGUUUCGCGUAAAAUGUAUCAACUCGUCGACACUGUCGCUUGCAUCGAUAAGUCUCGAUAAACUGCAAGUACAGAAUUGCACCGACUCGCUAGUGUCGUUAGCGCAAGCGACAACUGUCGGUAGUUACCGAUAUCGAUACGUACCGAUAUCGAAGUACAGAAUCCCGCUACUGUAGGCCUAUUCUCUAACUCGUAACGGCAAUUGUCGUUAUCGUUACGUUACCGAUGGUCCUCGCUUGUUCUACCGAUAGGUUAACGAAUGGCGUAUUAUGUAACUGCUCCUAGUGACACUCUAUCGAUACAAAACGAGCUAAGGACAUCGUUACGCUAGCGACAAUGCCCUAUUCGGCAUAACUGUUUUCAACCAAUGAAAUUUUACGUUUUCUUAAGAUGAGUUUGUGAACACUGAAAGGUACCCAAUAAAAAUAGUGAUUCACAGCAGCGAAGUUCAAAGUUUUUCAAUAGCUCUUUAUUAAAAAGCAGUUUCAACACUACUUAAUGUAACCGUAUCUUAUAUUAGUAUUUGAAAUAGUCUUUUCUUUUAGUUGUACUUAAAUAGUAAAAUAAUUUCAUUACAGUUUAUAGGUUUAACAGGUUAGCUAUAGUAGCAUUUUAACAAUAGAAUAGCGUCUAGAGAACAAAGAACAAUAGAGAAGCUUUUUUUCUAUAUCACAGAAUAUUGGUAUUAAUUUCUGUAGUAAUUUUUUUACAUUACCUAUUUAGUUUUUAUUUACAGCAGUACUUUAAUACUAGAAUAGUUUUUGACAGUAGUAUUCUUCUAUUUAUUAUUAAUUGAAUUCGUGUUAAACUUAACAUUACUGCUGCUUCAGAUAAAUUUCUGACUGUUUUUUUAGUGUUCUUAAAAAAAAAAAAAAGAAGAAAUGGAAUUGUAAGUAAUUAUUGCAUGAUUAUAUAUAAUAUGUACUAACUUAUAAAUACUAAUGUGAAUGCAACUGUACUAUUUAUUUAAAAUAUGUAAACGUAUGUAAUUCAUUUUGUAGGUCAGUGAAGAAAAGUCGGCAAGGAAGAACCAAUCUUCGACAAAUCAAUGCCAUGAUAGACUACAUGGAAAAACAUCCCCAUGUAGCAAGAAAUAAAUUUACGACGCUACAUGGCAAAGAUAAUAUUAAAUGGAGUUGGAUCGCGAUGGCCGAUUAUUUAAACUCGUUAUCAAAUGACACCAAAGUGAAGGACGUUAAGUUUUGGAAAAUGACAUGGAGAGAUUAUAAAACAAAAGUAUUGUUACGUCCCACGUAACGUCACCCCUCCAACUACAUAUAUUAAUUAAGUUAAGCGUCGUAAUUAUUACUUUUCUCAAAUACUAUGUUACUAAUAUCGUGUUAUAUCGUCCUCGCUCGUCUGUCAAUUUUCUACCGAACACGUGUUAGCAAUGUGCUCAAAAUAGGUAACCGUCACCAUGCGAAAGGUGAUAAGAACGAGAAUCCCUUGUUCUUAAUCCUCUAGGACAACGAUGGCCCGGACCAGUGGUAGCCCAACUUAGGGCUUCGAACCUACAUUGGUAAAACAAGUAAGAAAACUGAUAAAAGUGGAUAAUGUUAAGUUGAGGGCAGUGUCCUCCCUCUACAAAAAAUUUGGAGACAAUGCAGUUUAGGAACAGUAUAAAAAGGGACGCACCUAUGCACCCUCGCUUAGUGUCAGUUUUGCGUUCAGUUGAGUUCAGUAACAAUUUAUCGAUAGAAGACGAGCGUCUCGCAGAGUUCCAGUUUUUUUACAAGUACGAGCGCGGAAGAAAAACCAGUCUUCUUAUUAUUCGAGGUACCAUAUUUUUUCUAUGUCUUAAUAAAUCAAUCAUUCACACUUAUAUGAACUUUUUCUUUUCUUCUCCCUUUUGAAAGGAGAAGCAACAACAAUAUCCAAUUUUUACUAUUCCUUCGAUAUAAGAGGGCGCGGGGCUUAGUCUAGCUUCCCUUCUUCAACUAAUUCCUAUUAUCCUCCAAAAGGAGUCCGGGCCUUGGCCUAGUUUCCCCUAUAAUUUAUAUAUUACAACCGUACUAGUAUUAAGCCUUCUUUUACCUAACACGCAGAUGGUCAGACGAUCUGGGAGAAAAUACCAACUCCUUGUAACUUUCGCCAAGGCAGGGGGUAGGCCUAAAUUUACAACCUGUAGGCGUCCACACGGAGGAUCGAGGAAAAAGGCCUAAGAGCAACCCCCGGCAGCACCCCCUUCACCUCCAGAGAGGGUUUUUUCAAUUUCUCCGGAGCGCCUCGAAAUCACCAAGGCGCUCCUCAAAACCUCCACUCCGAGGACAGUUCCUCGAUCCAAACCUCAUCGACUCACGAGCGUCGAAGUCCGUACCCCCAAUUGGGAACUUAUUCCCAUAGAUAUUCCCGAAUCUAGCGACUAUAACGCCCAGGCGUUGGUACCAGGGGACCCCAGAAACUCCAAGCCAAUUCUUAUAACCAUAGAGUGAAAUAAAUCAUCUUUAUCUACCUCAUAAAAAUAAUCAAUUCAUUUCUUCCCUCCCAGACGUAACAAUAUCCGAGAAAGUGCGGAAAUUAAGAAGCAAUAGAGCAUAGACGGGAAACAAAGCCAUCGACAUUAUUCUUAAUGAUUUGGAUAAACGUGUCUUAGGAAUCAUAGGCCACCAAUAUGCUUCAGGCGUAGACCCAUGCUCGGAUGCCUUUCUGGAAGAACACCUAAACGUUUUAGAAGAAUUAACUGCGGGGGUUACUACAGUUCUAAAAAUGUCACCAACUUGUAUCCAAUUUAAUGAUGAAGCUGAACAGUGGUUAGAGUACUUAGAAAAUGAAGUGCCGCCUGAUUUUCUGGUAAAUGAAGCCAAACAGUAGGUAGAACCUCUACCAGAGAAAAAAGCUAUCGAGUAAGAAAAUCUGCAAAGCAAACAGGAAAAACAGCAGGAAACGAAAAAAAUAAAAAC
Molecule: long non-coding RNA, 3048 nt
Filed under: Orussus abietinus
Lineage: Eukaryota; Metazoa; Arthropoda; Insecta; Hymenoptera; Orussidae
Description: uncharacterized LOC111674046
Source: RNAcentral